ACACGUGGGUAACCUGCCUUAUAGUGGGGGAUAGCCUUUCGAAAGGAAGAUUAAUACCGCAUAAGAUUGUAGUAUCGCAUGAUAUAGCAAUUAAAGGAGCAAUUCGCUAUAAGAUGGACCCGCGUCGCAUUAGCUAGUUGGUGAGGUAAUGGCUCACCAAGGCGACGAUGCGUAGCCGACCCGAGAGGGUGAUCGGCCACAUUGGGACUGAGACACGGCCCAGACUCCUACGGGAGGCAGCAUG
This 244-nucleotide ribosomal RNA is filed under the name uncultured bacterium. RNAcentral describes it as "partial 16S ribosomal RNA". It matches the Rfam family "Bacterial small subunit ribosomal RNA", at positions 113 to 353 of the family's 1533-position model. The record is from RNAcentral.